CCAUGCCGCGUGUCUGAAGAAGGCCUUCGGGUUGUAAAGGACUUUUGUCAGGAGCAAAACUUACUGGUUAAUACCUGGUGAGGUUGAGAGUACCUGAAGAAUAAGCACCGGCUAACUACGUGCCAGCAGCCGCGGUAAUACGUAGGGUGCAAGCGUUAAUCGGAAUUACUGGGCGUAAAGCGUGCGCAGGCGGACUUUUAAGCCAGAUGUGAAAGCCCCGAGCUUAACUUGGGAAUUGCGUUUGGAACUGGGAGUCUAGAGUCUGUCAGAGGGGGAUGGAAUUCCACGUGUAGCAGUGAAAUGCGUAGAGAUGUGGAGGAACACCGAUGGCGAAGGCAGUCCCCUGGGAUAAGACUGACGCUCAUGCACGAAAGCGUGGGGAGCAAACAGGAUUAGAUACCCUGGUAGUCCACGCCCUAAACGAUGUCUACUAGUUGUUGGGGUAGCAAUACCUCAGUGACGCAGCUAACGCGUGAAGUAGACCGCCUGGGGAGUACGGUCGCAAGAUUAAAACUCAAAGGAAUUGACGGGGAG
This 534-nucleotide ribosomal RNA is filed under the name uncultured bacterium. Its description in RNAcentral is "bacterial SSU rRNA". It matches the Rfam family "Bacterial small subunit ribosomal RNA", at positions 392 to 920 of the family's 1533-position model. The record is from RNAcentral.